UGGGGGAUAUUGCACAAUGGGCGAAAGCCUGAUGCAGCGACGCCGCGUGGGGGAUGAAGGCUUUCGGGUUGUAAACCUCUUUCGCUAUCGAACAAGGCCCGCUUAGGGUGGGUUGAGGGUAGGUGGAGAAGAAGCGCCGGCUAACUACGUGCCAGCAGCCGCGGUAAUACGUAGGGCGCGAGCGUUGUCCGGAAUUAUUGGGCGUAAAGGGCUUGUAGGCGGCUUGUGGCGCCUGCUGUGAAAACGCGGGGCUUAACUUCGGGCGUGCAGUGGGUACGGGCAGGCUUGAGUGUGGUAGGGGUGACUGGAAUUCCAGGUGUAGCGGUGGAAUGCGCAGAUAUCUGGAGGAACACCGAUGGCGAAGGCAGGUCACUGGGCCAUUACUGACGCUGAGGAGCGAAAGCAUGGGUAGCGAACAGG
Molecule: ribosomal RNA, 420 nt
Filed under: bacterium
Lineage: Bacteria
Description: partial 16S ribosomal RNA
Rfam family: Bacterial small subunit ribosomal RNA
Source: RNAcentral